This 62-nucleotide transfer RNA is filed under the name Trichonephila clavata. It matches the Rfam family "tRNA". From Rfam's summary of the family: Transfer RNA (tRNA) molecules are approximately 80 nucleotides in length. Their secondary structure includes four short double-helical elements and three loops (D, anti-codon, and T loops). The record is from Rfam by way of RNAcentral. Lineage: Eukaryota; Metazoa; Arthropoda; Arachnida; Araneae; Nephilidae.
GUCCCUGUAGCGUAAUGGAUAGCGCGUUCCAAUGGUCGUGGGUUCGAAUCCCACCUGGGAUA